Molecule: long non-coding RNA, 973 nt
Filed under: Homo sapiens (human)
Lineage: Eukaryota; Metazoa; Chordata; Mammalia; Primates; Hominidae
Description: non-protein coding lnc-NCOR2-7:1
Source: RNAcentral
CUCAAUGUCCAGAUUCCCAACCUCAGUUCUGGGGAUGGGGUCUCUCUGGCAAAGGUUGACACAAGAAGGGGAAUUAGGCAAGAUGGAAAUGGGGGCAUUAUUUCAGGCUGGCUCACCAUUCUACUUUCAAAUCCAGGAUUAUCCAGUUCUUAAUCCUCUCUGUGCUAAAACCCUUCUCAGGUGCUGAAACUUCAACAGCAAAAACAUUAAAGAAGAGAGGAGAAGGGAUCUCUAGUUGUCUCGAGUGGUCAGCUUUCCAGAUCUCAGGUUGACAGAGUGGGCUUAGAUCUGGUAAUUCAACAUCCCCAUAAACCCUCCUCAGCCCCAAACCCACCCCUUUCCAUCAGAUGAGUAUGUGGAAGAAUUCAACGCAGGCACUAGUGGAACUGGCCUUGUGGGAUCAGAAAAUAAUUGCAAGGAAAUCUGAUCUCAUGAGGGGGGAAAGCUGACCCUAAUGAAAAGUUCUAUAGAAAAAGAAAAAAGAAAAGGACCCAGAAAAUGCACAGAAGUCAGCCCUACUCAUGAAUUAGCAAUCCUCCACGAUGACCCAAUAGUUUUUGGAAACAACUACAGUCCUUCCAGGAGCGUCUCCUAUGUUCCAGGCACUGUUCUAAAUGUCUUAUGUGUCUUACCUAAUUUAGCCCCAGAGCACAGACUUCCCACUACUGCAAUCAACAGGGACAUGACACAGUGGGACAAGGACCAGGCUAGGGUAGAAUUCCCAAAAUAAAAAGUUUUGAAUCAUUGCAGAAAGCAGUCAACACAUGGGACCAAAGAUACAGACAGUCAAUAAAACAGAAGAUCCUGAAAGCACAAAGAAAGAUUGAGGAAGAAGUUAACAGAAAUGAGAAGAAUGAGAAAGAAGACGGUAAAGAGGUCGAGGCGUAAGAGAAAGAGAAGAAACAAACGUUUGGCGCCCACCGUUUUUUGGAACGAUGUUCAAAACCCAUUCUACAUUCUUGUGAAAAAUCUG